This 508-nucleotide ribosomal RNA is filed under the name uncultured bacterium. RNAcentral's name for it is "partial 16S ribosomal RNA". It matches the Rfam family "Bacterial small subunit ribosomal RNA", at positions 28 to 523 of the family's 1533-position model. The record is from RNAcentral.
GAUGAACGCUAGCUAUAGGCUUAACACAUGCAAGUCGAGGGGAAACGAUAGAGAAAGCUUGCUUUUUCUAGGCGUCGACCGGCGCACGAGUGAGUAACGCGUAUCCAACCUGCCCACCACUUGGGGAUAACCUUGCGAAAGUAAGACUAAUACCCAAUGAUAUCUCUAGAAGACAUCUGAAAGAGAUUAAAGAUUUAUCGGUGAUGGAUGGGGAUGCGUCUGAUUAGCUUGUUGGCGGGGUAACGGCCCACCAAGGCGACGAUCAGUAGGGGUUCUGAGAGGAAGGUCCCCCACAUUGGAACUGAGACACGGUCCAAACUCCUACGGGAGGCAGCAGUGAGGAAUAUUGGUCAAUGGGCGAGAGCCUGAACCAGCCAAGUAGCGUGCAGGAUGACGGCCCUAUGGGUUGUAAACUGCUUUUAUAAGGGAAUAAAGUGAGUCUCGUGAGACUUUUUGCAUGUACCUUAUGAAUAAGGACCGGCUAAUUCCGUGCCAGCCGCCGCAGUAA